RNAcentral lists this ribosomal RNA (301 nucleotides) under uncultured bacterium. RNAcentral's name for it is "partial 16S ribosomal RNA". It matches the Rfam family "Bacterial small subunit ribosomal RNA", at positions 509 to 807 of the family's 1533-position model. The record is from RNAcentral.
CAGUCGCCGCGGGAAUACGUAGGGUGCAAGCGUUAAUCGGAAUUACUGGGCGUAAAGCGUGCGCAGGCGGUUAUAUAAGACAGAUGUGAAAUCCCCGGGCUCAACCUGGGAACUGCAUUUGUGACUGUAUAGCUAGAGUACGGCAGAGGGGGAUGGAAUUCCGCGUGUAGCAGUGAAAUGCGUAGAUAUGCGGAGGAACACCGAUGGCGAAGGCAAUCCCCUGGGCCUGUACUGACGUUCAUGCACGAAAGCGUGGGGAGCAAACAGGAUUAGAGACCCCUGUAGUCCCUGUCUCUUAUAC